GUUAAAUCCUACUUCAUAUCGUUGAAUCAAUACAACUUAAUAUGGAAGAACUAACAUAAUGUACCUUAAAAAAUUCAAGAAAGAUUUUUUUAUCUUACCAAAUGACAUGAACCUACCA
Cucurbita maxima (winter squash) is the source of this 118-nucleotide long non-coding RNA. RefSeq lists it as uncharacterized. Lineage: Eukaryota; Viridiplantae; Streptophyta; Magnoliopsida; Cucurbitales; Cucurbitaceae. The transcript is spliced from 2 exons. The record is from RefSeq and is a predicted model, not a curated record.